AUUGAACGCUGGCGGCAUGCUUUACACAUGCAAGUCGAACGGCAGCGCGGGCUUCGGCCUGGCGGCGAGUGGCGAACGGGUGAGUAAUACAUCGGAACGUGCCCAGUAGUGGGGGAUAGCUCGGCGAAAGCCGGAUUAAUACCGCAUACGACCUGAGGGUGAAAGCGGGGGAUCUUCGGACCUCGCGCUAUUGGAGCGGCCGAUGGCAGAUUAGCUAGUUGGUGGGGUAAAGGCCUACCAAGGCGACGAUCUGUAGCUGGUCUGAGAGGACGACCAGCCACACUGGGACUGAGACACGGCCCAGACUCCUACGGGAGGCAGCAGUGGGGAAUUUUGGACAAUGGGCGAAAGCCUGAUCCAGCAAUGCCGCGUGUGUGAUGAAGGCCUUCGGGUUGUAAAGCACUUUUGGCGGGAACGAAAAGGACUGUGCCAAUACCACGGUUCGAUGACG
RNAcentral lists this ribosomal RNA (451 nucleotides) under Lautropia mirabilis. RNAcentral's name for it is "bacterial SSU rRNA". It matches the Rfam family "Bacterial small subunit ribosomal RNA", at positions 29 to 474 of the family's 1533-position model. Lineage: Bacteria; Pseudomonadati; Pseudomonadota; Betaproteobacteria; Burkholderiales; Burkholderiaceae. The record is from RNAcentral.